GAGAUUAUGGAUGCUUUCAGAGUUAACACAGUUGCUGCUUGAGAUAGAUCCCUUUUGAACUGUAACUACUAUUAUUUCUACCAUUUAUAGACGCAGGUCUUUGUGAGGAUUAAUCUGUGAUGGUUGCUUCCUUGUUAAGUAUCGCAGCUGCCUUCUGUGUAAACUUGAUUUGUACUUAAACUAAACAUACGGUGUUUACUGUCGUAGAUUCCUAGUAUGGUUUUCCAAUAUUUGAGUGAGAUUUCAAACAAAUUGUAAUUACAAAGAAUCAAUAUCAAGUCCCAUCCAAGUG
Molecule: long non-coding RNA, 292 nt
Filed under: Salvia miltiorrhiza (redroot sage)
Lineage: Eukaryota; Viridiplantae; Streptophyta; Magnoliopsida; Lamiales; Lamiaceae
Description: long non-coding RNA (SMIL_LNC005431)
Source: RNAcentral